AACAACCCCCCGUGAGGGAUGCGGCCUUCGGGUUGUAACCUCUUUUAGCAGGGAAGAAGCGAAAGUGACGGUACCUGCAGAAAAAGCGCCGGCUAACUACGUGCCAGCAGCCGCGGUAAUACGUAGGGCGCAAGCGUUAUCCGGAAUUAUUGGGCGUAAAGAGCUCGUAGGCGGUUUGUCGCGUCUGCUGUGAAAUCCGGAGGCUCAACCUCCGGCCUGCAGUGGGUACGGGCAGACUAGAGUGCGGUAGGGGAGAUUGGAAUUCCUGGUGUAGCGGUGGAAUGCGCAGAUAUCAGGAGGAACACCGAUGGCGAAGGCAGAUCUCUGGGCCGUAACUGACGCUGAGGAGCGAAAGGGUGGGGAGCAAACAGGCUUAGAUACCCUGGUAGUCCACCCCGUAAACGUUGGGAACUAGUUGUGGGGUCCAUUCCACGGAUUCCGUGACGCAGCUAACGCAUUAAGUUCCCCGCCUGGGGAGUACGGCCGCAAGGCUAAAACUCAAAGGAAUUGACGGGGACCCGCACAAGCGGCGGAGCAUGCGGAUUAAUUCGAUGCAACGCGAAGAACCUUACCAAGGCUUGACAUAUACGAGAACGGGCCAGAAAUGGUCAACUCUUUGGACACUCGUAAACAGGUGGUGCAUGGUUGUCGUCAGCUCGUGUCGUGAGAUGUUGGGUUAAGUCCCGCAACGAGCGCAACCCUCGUUCUAUGUUGCCAGCACGUAAUGGUGGGAACUCAUGGGAUACUGCCGGGGUCAACUCGGAGGAAGGUGGGGAUGACGUCAAAUCAUCAUGCCCCUUAUGUCUUGGGCUUCACGCAUGCUACAAUGGCCGGUACAAAGGGCUGCAAUACCGCGAGGUGGAGCGAAUCCCAAAAAGCCGGUCCCAGUUCGGAUUGAGGUCUGCAACUCGACCUCAUGAAGUCGGAGUCGCUAGUAAUCGCAGAUCAGCAACGCUGCGGUGAAUACGUUCCCGGGUCUUGUACACACCGCCCGUCAAGUCAUGAAAGUCGGUAACACCUGAAGCCGGUGGCCUAACCCUUGUGGAGGGAGCCGUCGAAGGUGAUCGAAAAU
This 1072-nucleotide ribosomal RNA is filed under the name Microbacterium sp. RNAcentral's name for it is "bacterial SSU rRNA". It matches the Rfam family "Bacterial small subunit ribosomal RNA", at positions 390 to 1475 of the family's 1533-position model. The record is from RNAcentral. Lineage: Bacteria; Bacillati; Actinomycetota; Actinomycetes; Micrococcales; Microbacteriaceae. RNAcentral also lists the same sequence under 1 other name.